UCCGGUGGCGAUAGCGAAGGGGAUACACCUGUUCCCAUCCCGAACACAGCAGUUAAGCCCUUCAGCGCCGAUGGUACUUGGGGGGAGACCCCCUGGGAGAGUAGGUCGCUGCCGGAU
Molecule: ribosomal RNA, 117 nt
Filed under: Clostridiales bacterium
Lineage: Bacteria; Bacillati; Bacillota; Clostridia; Eubacteriales
Source: RNAcentral